UGGCCAGAUAGAGACAGGAAGACUGGAGAUGCCCUGGAUGCAGUGGGAGGCCAUGGCCUUUUCAAGUGAACCUAUGAAGUAGGUACAAAAGCUGCCAUUAUUCUCAUUUCCCAAGGAAGAAAAUGAAACUCAAAGGUUAGUCAUUUGACUCAACUUUGGCCACACAGCUGAUAAAAAUGGAAGAUAGGAUUCAAAGUCGGGUUUCAAAUGCAGAAUUUACUACAUCAUCUUUCCUCUCAUACUUGUUCCAUUAUUGUCUGCCAUCAGAGCAUUACUAUCUGUCUGGUCGAGAAUGUCUUCUUCGGAAAUAUUUUACCCGGGGGGUCAGAAGGGAGAAAGCUGCUUUUGCUCUAAAGUCACAUUUAUAUCAUGUGACAAGUAGGAAACGGCUACACUCACAGUUCAGGCUAGAACUAGCUUAUUCUACCUUUCAUUUUAUUUUAUUUCAUAGUAGAACCAUAAUCUUUGCCGAGAAAAGCACAGAGCACAUACCAACAACAGACUUGUUGAUCUGGCCACUGGGGAAAAAAAGAUGGAAGGGUAGUGAGGUUCGAUUAAGAAAAUGCAUGUAAAACAUCCUGAAAUCCCUACAUAAUUCAAGAAAUAUUCAUGAAGGUACCAGCUGUGUAAGGGUAUUUGGAACCACAGAAAGUACCAGACUUGGACUGAUCUCCGGAUGCUAAUGCUCACCAACCCAGUAACCACAGCAAUCACUUCAACUUUCUGAACCUCAGCAGCAAUUUUACCAGUCACCCAUGUUAAAGUUGGAAAUUUUUAAGCGGAUGGAGACCCAACACCCAAGAAAAACACAAAUCUUUGAUUUCUGUUCAAGACAUAGUUCAGC
Long non-coding RNA from Sarcophilus harrisii (Tasmanian devil), 844 nucleotides. RefSeq lists it as uncharacterized. The record is from RefSeq and is a predicted model, not a curated record. NCBI's taxonomy places the organism in Eukaryota, Metazoa, Chordata, Mammalia, Dasyuromorphia, Dasyuridae. The transcript has 3 exons.